GGAGGGUUGGCUCGAAUGGUAAGGCAGCGGCAUUAGAAACCGCGGUCUGGUGGUCAAGACACCAGUGCAGGUCCGAAUCCUGUACCCUCCGCCA
This 94-nucleotide transfer RNA is filed under the name Alphaproteobacteria bacterium. Its description in RNAcentral is "tRNA-Leu". It matches the Rfam family "tRNA". Rfam says of the family: Transfer RNA (tRNA) molecules are approximately 80 nucleotides in length. Their secondary structure includes four short double-helical elements and three loops (D, anti-codon, and T loops). The record is from RNAcentral. Lineage: Bacteria; Pseudomonadati; Pseudomonadota; Alphaproteobacteria.